UACGUAGGCAGCGAGCGUUGUUCGGAAUUACUGGGCGUAAAGAGUGUGUAGGCGGUGUUCCCAGUCUGUUGUGAAAUCUCCCGGCUUAACUGGGAGGGUGCAGCGGAAACUAGAAUGCUAGAGGGUGGGAGAGGUAAGCGGAAUUCCUGGUGUAGCGGUGAAAUGCGUAGAGAUCAGGAGGAACACCGGUGGCGAAGGCGGCCUACUGGGCCAUCACUGACGCUGAGGCGCGAAAGCUCGGGGAGCGAACGGG
RNAcentral lists this ribosomal RNA (253 nucleotides) under uncultured bacterium. RNAcentral's name for it is "partial 16S ribosomal RNA". It matches the Rfam family "Bacterial small subunit ribosomal RNA", at positions 524 to 776 of the family's 1533-position model. The record is from RNAcentral.